GGGCCCGUAGCUCAGGUGGAUAGAGCAUCUGCCUUCUAAGCAGAGGGUCGGCGGUUCGAGUCCGCCCGGGCCCG
Molecule: transfer RNA, 74 nt
Filed under: Elusimicrobiota bacterium
Lineage: Bacteria; Pseudomonadati; Elusimicrobiota
Description: Elusimicrobia bacterium (bioreactor metagenome) tRNA-Arg
Rfam family: tRNA
About the family: Transfer RNA (tRNA) molecules are approximately 80 nucleotides in length.
Source: RNAcentral